Molecule: ribosomal RNA, 433 nt
Filed under: uncultured bacterium
Lineage: Bacteria
Description: partial 16S ribosomal RNA
Rfam family: Bacterial small subunit ribosomal RNA
Source: RNAcentral
AACGAACGCUGGCGGCAGGCCUAACACAUGCAAGUCGAGCGAGGACUUCGGUCCUAGCGGCGGACGGGGGAGUAACGCGUGGGAACGUGCCCUUUGCUUCGGAAUAGCCCUGGGAAACUGGGAGUAAUACCGGAUGAGCCCUUUGGGGGAAAGAUUUAUCGGCGAAGGAUCGGCCCGCGUUGGAUUAGGUAGUUGGUGGGGUAAUGGCCUACCAAGCCGACGAUCCAUAGCUGGUUUGAGAGGAUGAUCAGCCACACUGGGACUGAGACACGGCCCAGACUCCGACGGGAGGCAGCAGUGGGGAAUCUUAGACAAUGGGGGAAACCCUGAUCUAGCCAUGCCGCGUGAGCGAUGAAGGCCUUAGGGUUGUAAAGCUCUUUCAGCUGGGAAGAUAAUGACGGUACCAGCAGAAGAAGCCCCGGCUAACUCCGUG